RNAcentral lists this ribosomal RNA (468 nucleotides) under uncultured bacterium. RNAcentral's name for it is "partial 16S ribosomal RNA". It matches the Rfam family "Bacterial small subunit ribosomal RNA", at positions 28 to 507 of the family's 1533-position model. The record is from RNAcentral.
GACGAACGCUGGCGGCGUGCUUAACACAUGCAAGUCGAACGGAAAGACCCUGCUUUUGUGGGAUGCUCGAGUGGCGAACGGGUGAGUAACACGUGAGUAACCUGCCCUUGACUUUGGGAUAACUUCAGGAAACUGGGGCUAAUACCGGAUAGGAGCUCCUGCUGCAUGGUGGGGGUUGGAAAGUUUCGGCGGUUGGGGAUGGACUCGCGGCUUAUCAGCUUGUUGGUGGGGUAGUGGCCUACCAAGGCUUUGACGGGUAGCCGGCCUGAGAGGGUGACCGGCCACAUUGGGACUGAGAUACGGCCCAGACUCCUACGGGAGGCAGCAGUGGGGAAUAUUGCACAAUGGGCGGAAGCCUGAUGCAGCAACGCCGCGUGCGGGAUGACGGCCUUCGGGUUGUAAACCGCUUUCGCCUGUGACGAAGCGUGAGUGACGGUAAUGGGUAAAGAAGCACCGGCUAACUACGUG